GUAGAUGAUGAAAUGUGCACUGGGCUCUGAGCAGUUCGAAACACGAACUGCUUCUUGAUGGAAAAUUCGCAGCCUAGAAAGCUAUAUUCUGAUAC
Small nucleolar RNA from Diospyros lotus (date-plum), 95 nucleotides. The record is from RefSeq and is a predicted model, not a curated record. NCBI's taxonomy places the organism in Eukaryota, Viridiplantae, Streptophyta, Magnoliopsida, Ericales, Ebenaceae.